AGUCGAGCGGAGUUGAUAAGAAGCUUGCUUCUCUUGAUGCGUUAGCGGCGGACGGGUGAGUAACACGUAGGCAACCUGCCCUCAAGUUUGGGACAACUACCGGAAACGGUAGCUAAUACCGAAUAAUUGUUUUCUUCGCCUGAAGGAAACUGGAAAGACGGAGCAAUCUGUCACUUGGGGAUGGGCCUGCGGCGCAUUAGCUAGUUGGUGAGGUAACGGCUCACCAAGGCGACGAUGCGUAGCCGACCUGAGAGGGUGAUCGGCCACACUGGGACUGAGACACGGCCCAGACUCCUACGGGAGGCAGCAGUAGGGAAUCUUCCGCAAUGGGCGAAAGCCUGACGGAGCAAUGCCGCGUGAGUGAUGAAGGUUUUCGGAUCGUAAAGCUCUGUUGCCAGGGAAGAACGCUUGGGAGAGUAACUGCUCUCAAGGUGACGGUACCUGAGAAGAAAGCCCCGGCUAACUACGUGCCAGCAGCCGCGGUAAUACGUAGGGGGCAAGCGUUGUCCGGAAUUAUUGGGCGUAAAGCGCGCGCAGGCGGUCAUUUAAGUCUGGUGUUUAAUCCCGGGGCUCAACCCCGGAUCGCACUGGAAACUGGGUGACUUGAGUGCAGAAGAGGAGAGUGGAAUUCCACGUGUAGCGG
RNAcentral lists this ribosomal RNA (643 nucleotides) under Paenibacillus sp. RNAcentral's name for it is "bacterial SSU rRNA". It matches the Rfam family "Bacterial small subunit ribosomal RNA", at positions 60 to 681 of the family's 1533-position model. Lineage: Bacteria; Bacillati; Bacillota; Bacilli; Caryophanales; Paenibacillaceae. The record is from RNAcentral.